GUAGGUGGCAAGCGUUGUCCGGAAUUAUUGGGCGUAAAGCGCGCGCAGGCGGUCCUUUAAGUCUGAUGUGAAAGCCCACGGCUCAACCGUGGAGGGUCAUUGGAAACUGAGGGACUUGAGUACAGAAGAGGAAAGCGGAAUUCCACGUGUAGCGGUGAAAUGCGUAGAGAUGUGGAGGAACACCAGUGGCGAAGGCGGCUUUCUGGUCUGUAACUGACGCUGAGGCGCGAAAGCGUGGGGAGCAAACAGGAUUAGAUACCCUGGUAGUCCACGCCGUAAACGAUGAGUGCUAAGUGUUAGGGGGGUUUCCGCCCCCCUUAGUGCUGCAGCUAACGCAUUAAGCACUCCGCCUGGGAGUACGACCGCAAGGUUG
This 373-nucleotide ribosomal RNA is filed under the name uncultured organism. Its description in RNAcentral is "partial 16S ribosomal RNA". It matches the Rfam family "Bacterial small subunit ribosomal RNA", at positions 527 to 896 of the family's 1533-position model. The record is from RNAcentral.